GACAAUACUGACGCUGAGAUGCGAAGCGUGGGGAGCAAACAGGAUUAGAUACCUGGUAGUCCACGCUGUAAACGAUGUCGACUUGGAGUUUGGGGGCAUGACCCUUGGGCUCCGGAGCUAACGCGUUAAAUCGACCGCUGGGGAGUACGGCCGCAAGGUUAAAACUCAAAUGAAUUGACGGGGGCCCGCACAAGCGGUGGAGCAUGUGGUUUAAUUCGAUGCAACGCGAAGAACCUUACCUGGUCUUGACAUCCAUAGAAUCUUUCAGAGAUGAGAGAGUGCCUUCGGGAGCUAUGAGACAGGUGCUGCAUGGCUGUCGUCAGCUCGUGUUGUGAAAUGUUGGGUUAAGUCCCGCAACGAGCGCAACCCCUAUCCUUUGUUGCCAGCACGUAAUGGUGGGAACUCAAAGGAGACUGCCGUUGAUAAAGCGGAGGAAGGUGGGGACGACGUCAAGUCAUCAUGGCCCUUACGACCAGGGCUACACACGUGCUACAAUGGCGUAUACAAAGGGAUGCGAAGGUGCGAACUGGAGCGGACCUCACAAAGUACGUCUAAGUCCGGAUUGGAGUCUGCAACUCGACUCCAUGAAGUCGGAAUCGCUAGUAAUCGUGAAUCAGAAUGUCACGGUGAAUACGUUCCCGGGCCUUGUACACACCGCCCGUCACACCAUGGGAGUGGGUUGCACCAGAAGUAGAUAGCUUAACCUUCGGGAGGGCGUUUACCACGGUGUGGUUCAUGACUGGGGUGAAGUCGUAACAAGGUAACCA
RNAcentral lists this ribosomal RNA (767 nucleotides) under uncultured Enterobacteriaceae bacterium. RNAcentral describes it as "bacterial SSU rRNA". It matches the Rfam family "Bacterial small subunit ribosomal RNA", at positions 733 to 1502 of the family's 1533-position model. The record is from RNAcentral. Lineage: Bacteria; Pseudomonadati; Pseudomonadota; Gammaproteobacteria; Enterobacterales; Enterobacteriaceae.